RNAcentral lists this small RNA (6408 nucleotides) under Pan troglodytes (chimpanzee). Its description in RNAcentral is "retained intron". Lineage: Eukaryota; Metazoa; Chordata; Mammalia; Primates; Hominidae. The record is from RNAcentral.
GUGGUGGGCCCCUGUAAUCCCAGCUACUCGGGAGGCUGAGGCAUGAGAAUUGCUUGAACUCGGGAGGUAGAAAUUGCAGUGAGCUGAGAUUGUGCUACUGCACUCUAGCCUGGGCAACAGAGCGAGACUCUGUCUCAAACCCCCCUCCACCCCCCAUAAUUAGCCAGGCUUGGUGGAUCACGCCUGUAAUCCCAGUUAUUUGGGAGGCUGAGGCAUGAAAAUCGCUUGAACCCUGGAGGUAGAGAUUGCAGUGAGCCAAGAUUGCGCCACUGCACUCCAGCCUGGGCAAUAGAGCGAGACUCAGUCAAAAGAAAAAAGAGAACCUCGGUGUUGGUGGACUUGGGUCACCUUUGAUUUUCACCUGGAGGAGUCUGAAGUGGCCAGGGAGAGGAUAGUGGAUCUUUACUGUGUGUGUAGGACCUUUACAGACCUUAACUGUAAAUGCAAAACCCCAGAAAGAGCUAUCAGAAACUUUCAGGCAUUUGCAGAAAAAUCCACUUUAUUCAGUGCAGUAUCACCUGGAAAUUUCAAUUAACCAUCCUUCAUCAACAGGAACCCCUGGUUGGUCAGCCAUCAGAAGCCCUGGUUGGUCAGCAUUCCACCAAUAAGAAUUCCUGGUUAGCGGCACUCCACCAAUCACAACCCCUGGUUAGCUCCUAUUCCACCAAUCAGAAGCCUUGGUUAGAAUGCAUUCUAUUAAAGGACUCUGUCGGCGGGUACUUCCAGGGCAAUUUAGGUGAGUUACAUUUGAGGGUCUUGGUGGCAGAUUCAGGUCCCCACGAGGAACUGUACCUUUUGGGGGGAAAUUUGCUUUCUUGGAUUUAAGAAAGUGCUUAACCUAAGUUAAGCACUAGGUUAGCCAGCAGCUGGUUUCUGAACCAGGAGACUGGGCUGAUGGCUUUGGAGAGGAAGGAGGCAGGAUGGAGCAUUGGAGAAGCUGGGCCGGCAGAUUCUGGUGCAGAGGAGGAGGCGACACAGGCCCCUGAUCCCAGCCCCAGCUGCUCUUCCUUGUGAGAACUUCCGGCUGGGGUUUUCGGGACUGGGGUCUGGUGGUCUCCUUUGGUCUCCCAGUUAGUGGGCUGCCUUGCGGGGAAGGGAAGGAAGAGGCUGAGGGUCAGCUCCCAAGAGCAGAGGAGUUGGUGGGACUUGGGCCGGGAGGUGCAGAAGGGUGCAUCUGGCUGCACCCUGUCCUGCCCAGCUGCUGGGUGUGACCUUGGGCAAGUCACCUCACUUGUGGGCUUGUGUUCAGAGGGGCAGGGGUGAUGGCUGAGCUUGCAGUCACACACCCGCUUCUGGUAAGUGGCGGGCUGUGUGAACUAGCAGUCAGUAGAGGCGCUUCAGUGGGUUGGCAUCUGCAGGUUGCUGUUGUGCCCGGUCUGGCUGCUUGACCUUGGGAUCAUCACCUUCCUUCCCACGACCCUGCAUUGCUUGCUCACUGUAAUCUCGGCCACCCCACUGGGUUUUGUGAGAAUCAGGCAGGGAAAAAUGUCAACGAGGUCUGUGAAUAAUAAAAAGAGUUACACGAUUACAGCAAUUUCCGAAUGCCUGGUCCUUUUUUUUUUUUUUUUUUUUGAGACAAGGUCUCACUCUGUUGCCCAGGCUGGAGUACAGUGACAUGAUCACAGCUCACUGCAGCCUCAACCUCCUGGGCUUACUACAUCCUCCCACCUUAGCCUCCUCAGUUGCUGGAACAAUAGGCACACUCCACCAUGCCUGGCUGAUUUCUUUAAUUUUUUCUAGUGAUGGGGUCUCACUAUGUUGCCCAGGCUGGUCUUGAACUCUGGGGCUCAAGCGAUCCUCCUGCUUUGGCCUCCCAAAGUGCUAGGAUUAUAGGUGUGAGCCACUGUGCCAGGCCUAGUCUUCUCUUUUACAGGGAUAACUGUCACCUGCCAGUUGAGGCAUCGGGCUCUGUGGGCUGGUCAGAGCUCAUUCUGCCCUAUGGCCUGACACCUGCUCUGGGGUCAGGGUUCAUGCCCAGCGCUUGCUGCAGCUGGACCCUACCCAAACCUCUGUGCCCCCCUCUUUACAUGGGAGUCUUCAGGCCACCUGACUCAGGAACAUUGUGACAAUUCAGUGAGAAAAUUCUCGCCAAAAACUUAAAAAAAAAAAGGUAUCCCUCUGUUGUGGACCCUCCAGGAGGGCCAGCUCUCAGGUGGCCCAAGGCUGGACUUGGUGCUCCCUUUUCACCCCCUGGUCAGCUCUGGCUUUUGGGCAUUGCCAGGAGGGACCCAGGGGCUGGGUGGGCAGGGGUCUCUCCCCACAUCUCUCCUGAGGGGGAUGGUGAUGCCUCAAGAUUGCACUUACCUUGUGUUGUGGCUUCCUAUGGACAUCUCUUCCCACCUCUUACCUCCAAAGAGCCCCAGCUUUAAGCCACCCACUGCAGAGCAGUCCUGGUCCCCUUGGCCUGCUGGCCUCUCAGAGAUGUUAUGGUCUGAGGCUGUGCCAGGCCUGGGAGCCUGGACUCCGCCCCAAGGCUGGGCCACACACAGCCGUGCAGCAGGCCUGCUCUAGUCCCCCUAUCACCUCCACUUCAGGGCAGGGGAACGGGGAGAAGUGAGGGCACUGACAUCCAGCUGACUGACCCUAAAACCAUCCCCUCUCUGCCCUGCACCCUAAAGUCUCUCAUGGAAAGUGGGGGGCCCGGGCCCCUUUUGCAGCGCUGACAUUUCAAGACCCUGUAAGCGACUUGUACCCUGGGUGCAGGCCCUGGGCCUUUGGGUCCUGAUGGAGGAGGGGGCUUGGCUUGAUGAGGACGGAAGGAGGUUGAUUUGCAUCCAGACUUCCGGCGUCGGACACCUCUCUAUUGGGAGAGGAAGCCGAGGCCGGGGAAGGGGCAGCGAUGCGUCCAGGGUCCCACAGGGAGCCAAGGCUGGACAGAUGGGCAGGCUGGGUGGGGCCAGGAAGGCCACGGCUGUUUCCAGCUGUUGCAGAUGUGCUGCCUCCGGGGUCCAUGCAAACUCCUUUCCGCCUGCGGGCUGGCGAAGGGGCCAGGGCACACAGCAGGGGAGUUAGACUUGGCAGCCCCUUGACCCCAGACUGCCCUCGUCAAUGGAGUAGGAGCUGCCCAGAACCCUUUUCCUGUUCUCCCAGAUUCAGGGGCAUGAGCCCCCUUGGCCCAGUCCUGGAACAGGGCACCCCGGGAGGGCCCCUCAGGAAGAGGCCGGGGCUGCGGCUUCGGGUGGGGCCGGCAGCCUCUGCUGGGAGCCCAGCAUCUGGAAGCCAUCAGGCCAGGGGAGGGGGGAGUUGCAGGGGAGGUCCAGGGAGGGGGACAUGCCUCCUCCAGGCCACACACAAGCCCAACCCUCGAGAGCGUGGCCUUGGGCCCACAACCGCUGCCUCUGCACCCUGGCCCGCAGCCCCGCCCCCUGGCGCACACGCCCCGCCCUCGUCCGAAGCCACGCCCCCAUCCAGCAGCCACGCCCUCUUCCCCCAGGCUGCCUUCUCACCGCACUGGCCACUGCUCCUGCAAGGGUCAGCAGCGCUCCCCACAGCAUGCUGGGAGCCUCGCUUCUCCGGCGCAGGGUGGGUCUGUCUCUUGGAGUGGGUGGGCUGUGGGGAGCCGUGUCCCCAGGGGUUGUUGGCUUGGUGUCUUUUUGGGGAGUGAGUGGUACUUGUCUUCUGUGAAGUCUUAGCCUAGCGGGGCUGGGGCUUGUGGUGGGGGGCGUGGCCGUGAGGGUAGGAAGGGAGUGGGGACGUCUUCCUCAGUCCUGGGGUGGCAAAGCCUGAGACGCUGAAGAGGCGCUCCAGGUGCCUAGCAAGUCACUCAGAAGUGUUCCAGGAGCGGGGACAGCGUCCCUGAAUGUCGUCUGCAUCCCGCGUGCAUCAGAAUCACACCACGCACGUUUCUGGGCCCCACCGGGCCUGCUAGUCAGACGCUGGGGCCAGCACCCGUCGUCUGCAUAGUUUCUAAGCUCUUGGAUGUUUUGAUGCUCAGACACACUGGGAAUUCUGUUCCGGAGGAGAGACUGCUCCCUGUGAGGAAAGCCAGGGAGGGGAUGGGUUUUUGUUGUUGUUGUUGAGACAAGGUCUUGCUCUGUUGCCCAGACUGAAGUGCAGUGGCGUGAUCAUAGCUCACUGCAGCCUCCAACUCCUGGGCUCAAGCGAUCCUCCCACUUCAGCCUCCUGAGUAGCUGGGACUACAGGCAUGCACCACCACACCUGGCUAAUUUUAUUUUUUUGUAGAGACAGGGUCUCACUACGUUGCCUAGGCUGAUCUCAAACUCUUAGGCUCAAUGAUCCUUGGCCUUGAUUCAGUCCGCCCUGGUGUCCCAGAGAGCACCCCUCCAUCACUCUCUGGGGGUGGCCUGGCAUCUUUUGCAGCAGGGGAGGGAUGCAGUUUCCACUGGGGCCCUCUGGAGAUGAAUGAUGAAGAGGGCGCCUUGGCCGAGCCUGUCCCUGUCCUCUCUGGCAGCCUUGCCAACAUUCCACUAACCCCCGAGACUCAGCGGGACCAGGAGCGGCGGAUUCGGCGGGAGAUCGCCAACAGCAACGAGCGGAGACGCAUGCAGAGCAUCAACGCGGGAUUCCAGUCCCUCAAGACCCUCAUCCCCCACACAGACGGAGAGAAGCUCAGCAAGGCAGCCAUUCUCCAGCAGACAGCCGAGUACAUCUUCUCCCUGGAGCAGGAGAAGACCAGGCUCUUGCAGCAGAACACACAGCUCAAGCGCUUCAUCCAGGAGCUGAGCGGCUCGUCCCCCAAGCGACGGCGGGCAGAGGACAAGGACGAAGGCAUAGGCUCCCCGGACAUCUGGGAGGACGAGAAGGCGGAGGACCUGCGGCGGGAGAUGAUUGAGCUGCGGCAGCAGCUGGACAAGGAGCGCUCGGUGCGCAUGAUGCUGGAGGAGCAGGUGCGCUCGCUGGAGGCCCACAUGUACCCGGAAAAGCUCAAGGUGAUUGCACAGCAGGUGCAGCUGCAGCAGCAGCAGGAACAGGUGAGGCUGCUGCACCAGGAGAAGCUGGAGCGGGAACAGCAGCACCUGCGGACCCAGGUGAGCAGGAGGCGCCCGGGAGUGGGCUCUGGGGACCGGGAAGGGGACAGGUGAUCUUGAACGGCGGAAGCCUCUCCCUAGGCCACGUCCUCUCUGCUUCUUAAUAUAAAGGGGGAGAGGCAGUUAUACAUUGGCCGGCUCUGCAUGAAAGGGAGGUGGAUGGGCCAAGAGAAGCCUUGAGAGAAAGGCUGAGGGCCUCUGUCUUCCAGCUUCUGCCCCCUCCGGCCCCCACCCACCACCCCACGGUGAUCGUGCCAGCACCGCCUCCUCCUCCCUCCCACCACAUCAAUGUCGUCACCAUGGGCCCCUCCUCGGUCAUCAACUCUGUUUCCACAUCCCGGCAAAAUCUGGACACCAUCGUGCAGGCAAUCCAGCACAUCGAGGGCACCCAGGAAAAGCAGGAGCUGGAGGAGGAGCAGCGGCGAGCUGUCAUCGUGAAGCCGGUCCGCAGCGGCCCGGAGGCCCCCACCUCUGACACCGCCUCCGACUCCGAGGCCUCAGACAGUGACGCCAUGGACCAGAGCCGGGAGGAGCCGUCGGGGGACGGGGAGCUUCCCUGACUACCCCCCCAGCCCUCCUCUCCCUUCUGGGGGCUGGAGGGAGCCGGGGCAGCCACAGGGAGAGACAUGGGCGAAUGAGUGAGAAAUUUUUACAAAAUUACGAUGUCAUUUGGGUCUCUUUUAUGACCUCUUUUUCAAUACUGUAAAUCGACCUUUGAACGAAGCCACUCAACCCGAGGUCCCGGGGCUGGGGUGUCGCAGAGCGUGUGGGAGCAUCGGGACCCCAGGGCUGGGCCUCGGCCCCGGGGGCUGGAGGAAGCUGACACGGAGAUGCCUGGCCUCUCUCUGCCAAAAAGCAUUUUUUCCUUUAAAUAUGUUUUUUAAGAACAGGGAAAAUUAAACAAAACCCCAGGUUAUUUCUUCCCGCCCAGAGCCAGCCUGGGAUUGUCAGCCUUCAAUCCCCUUUCCCUCCUCUUUUUGGGUUUUCUUCUUUCUCCUUUAAGCACUUACAUGGUUGGGGGUAAGACUAGGCUGGGGCGUUCUGGGGGCCCGGAGGCCUCCGUUGCUUCUCGGUUGGGGUUUGCUGCUGCUGUGCCCCCCUCCCCCUUCCCCAUCUCGGCACUAGAAUUCGCCACUCUCCCACCCCCCCAGCCCCCACCUAUGCCUCCAGGUCUCAUCUUCCACCCCAAAAAUGUCUGUCUCUCUCUUUUUGUUUUGUUUGUUGUUGGUUUUUUAUUUCUUUUUGGUUUGCUUUCUGUUUUUGUUUUGUUUUUCUUUUUCUUUUUCUUUUUUUUUACAAUUUUGAGGUCUUCGUGUUCAAGGAGAAGCUAUUAUAUUUUGUUAAGAAAGUGGGGAGAAAAAAACCAAGAGGCCACCGUGCCUUUGUAAAGAAACAAAAUAAAGUUUGUACUUUGUUUUUU